UACAGAGGGGGCCAGCGUUAUUCGGAAUUAUUGGGCGUAAAGGGCGCGUAGGCGGCCUGCUAAGUCGAACGUGAAAUCCCCGGGCUCAACCCGGGAACUGCGUCCGAUACUGGCAGGCUUGAAUCCGGGAGAGGGAUGUGGAAUUCCAGGUGUAGCGGUGAAAUGCGUAGAUAUCUGGAGGAACACCGGUGGCGAAGGCGGCAUCCUGGACCGGUAUUGACGCUGAUGCGCGAAAGCCAGGGGAGCAAACGGG
This 253-nucleotide ribosomal RNA is filed under the name uncultured bacterium. RNAcentral describes it as "partial 16S ribosomal RNA". It matches the Rfam family "Bacterial small subunit ribosomal RNA", at positions 524 to 776 of the family's 1533-position model. The record is from RNAcentral.